Molecule: long non-coding RNA, 724 nt
Organism: Vespa mandarinia (Asian giant hornet)
Lineage: Eukaryota; Metazoa; Arthropoda; Insecta; Hymenoptera; Vespidae
Gene: heph
Source: RefSeq, a predicted model, not a curated record
GUCAAAUUUCGUCGAGAGAUGGCGCCAGUGGUUACGUUACGUCAAACCCGUAUCCAUGUAGUAUAUCUACCCUUUUCGCGAAAUUCCACGGUCUGAAAGUGGCAGCGCGUGGCCGUCGUUCGUUGUUCGUUGUUAGUUCGUUUCGUUUCGUACGUACGUACGUAAGUAAUUAAUUAACCAAUCAAGUUGGAAAAUUGUUUUCUACGAAUGCAAGAACGAGUAUCCUCGUGAUAGCGAGGCCGAGUUAAACCGGCUGACAUAACCUCACAUUAUUGUCGUCGAUCAAGAGGAAGAGUGAGAGAGAGAGAGAGGGGGUGAGAGAGAGAGAGAGAAAGCGAGAGAGAAAGAAAGAAAGAAAGAUUCAAGCAGACAGGAAAAAACGUUCGUCGUCGUCGUCGUCGUCGUUGUCGUCGUCGUCAUCGUCGUCAUCGUCGUCGUCGUCGUCGUCGAAAGACGCCGUCAGCAUGAACGGAGAAAGGCAUGGAGAGAGAGAGAGAGAGAGAGAGAAUGCGCGCAAAAUGGAGGGAAACUGUUAAGCUGGGUCACGUGGUAACCUUGUUGCGAACUCCAUUCUGAUUGGUUCUUUUUUCUCUCACCUUCGUAGCUACGUUCUUUCCGUAGUUUAUUUUCUAAGAACUUGGCAGAUAUCACUAACGACGGAUGUUAACGUACGUUCUAAAAAUACUGAUGGGCAUUUGGUCGAUUAUAACAUUAUUUUUUUCUC